RNAcentral lists this ribosomal RNA (484 nucleotides) under uncultured bacterium. Its description in RNAcentral is "partial 16S ribosomal RNA". It matches the Rfam family "Bacterial small subunit ribosomal RNA", at positions 30 to 507 of the family's 1533-position model. The record is from RNAcentral.
AUUGAACGCUGGCGGCAGGCCUAACACAUGCAAGUCGAGCGGAUGAAGGGAGCUUGCUCCUGGAUUCAGCGGCGGACGGGUGAGUAAUGCCUAGGAAUCUGCCUGCUAUUGCGUUGUAACGUCUGGAAACGAGCGCUAAUACCGCAUACUUCCUGCUGGAGCAAGAGGGGGGUCUUCGGACCUCAUGCUAUCAUAUGAGCCUAGGUCGGAUUAGCUAGUUGGUGGGGUAAAGACCUACCAAGGCGACGAUCCGUAACUGGUCUGAGAGGAUGAUCAGUCACACUGGAACUGAGACACGGUCCAGACUCCUAAGGGAGGCAGCAGUGGGGAAUAUUGGACAGUGGGCGAAAGCCUGAUCCAGCCAUGCCGCGUGUGUGAAGAAGGUCUUCAGAUUGUAAAGAACUUUAAGUUGGGAGGAAGGGCAGUAAGUUAAUACCUUGCUGUAUUGACGUUAACAACAGAAGAAGCACCGGCUAACUUCGUG